This 30-nucleotide non-coding RNA is filed under the name Mus musculus (house mouse). The record is from RNAcentral. Lineage: Eukaryota; Metazoa; Chordata; Mammalia; Rodentia; Muridae.
UAGCAUUGGAGUCAAAACUUUACCAGCAUC